UACGGGGGGGGCAAGCGUUGUUCGGAAUUACUGGGCGUAAAGGGUUCGUAGGCGGCUUGCUAAGUCAGACGUGAAAUCCCUCAGCUUAACUGGGGAACUGCGUCUGAGACUGGCAAGCUUGAGUGCAGGAGAGGAACGCGGAAUUCCAGGUGUAGCGGUGAAAUGCGUAGAUAUCUGGAGGAACACCGGUGGCGAAGGCGGCGUUCUGGACUGCAACUGACACUGAAGAACGAAAGCCAGGGGAGCAAACGGG
RNAcentral lists this ribosomal RNA (253 nucleotides) under uncultured bacterium. RNAcentral's name for it is "partial 16S ribosomal RNA". It matches the Rfam family "Bacterial small subunit ribosomal RNA", at positions 524 to 776 of the family's 1533-position model. The record is from RNAcentral.